GUUGGGAGCUCUCCAUAUGGUCGACCUGCAGGCGGCCGCGAAUUCACUAGUGAUUAGAGUUUGAUCAUGGCUCAGAAUCAACGCUGGCGGCGUGCCUAACACAUGCAAGUCGAACGCGAAUGUCCCGCAAGGGACUAGUAGAGUGGCAAACGGGUGAGUAACACGUGGGUGACCUGCCUUCGAGUGGGGGAUAACGUCCCGAAAGGGACGCUAAUACCGCAUUACAUCCUGCCCUUGAACGGGUGGAGAUCAAAGCUGGGGAUCGCAAGACCUAGCGCUUGAAGAGGGGCCCGCGUCUGAUUAGCUAGUUGGUGAGGUAACGGCUCACCAAGGCGACGAUCAGUAUCCGGCCUGAGAGGGCGGACGGACACACUGGGACUGAGACACGGCCCAGACUCCUACGGGAGGCAGCAGUGGGGAAUUGUUCGCAAUGGGCGCAAGCCUGACGACGCAACGCCGCGUGGAGGAUGAAGACCUUCGGGUCGUAAACUCCUUUCGAUCGAGACGAACGGCUUCCGGGUGAACAAUCCGGAAGAUUGACGGUACCGAGAGAAGAAGCCCCGGCUAACUCCGUGCCAGCAGCCGCGGUAAUACGAAUCGAAUUCCCGCGGCCGUCAUGGCGGCCGG
Molecule: ribosomal RNA, 627 nt
Filed under: uncultured Gammaproteobacteria bacterium
Lineage: Bacteria; Pseudomonadati; Pseudomonadota; Gammaproteobacteria
Description: bacterial SSU rRNA
Rfam family: Bacterial small subunit ribosomal RNA
Source: RNAcentral